UACGUAGGGUGCAAGCGUUGUCCGGAAUUAUUGGGCGUAAAGAGCUCGUAGGCGGUUCGUCGCGUCGGAUGUGAAAGCCCGGGGCUUAACUCCGGGUCUGCAUUCGAUACGGGCAGGCUAGAGUUCGGUAGGGGAGAUCGGAAUUCCUGGUGUAGCGGUGAAAUGCGCAGAUAUCAGGAGGAACACCGGUGGCGAAGGCGGAUCUCUGGGCCGAUACUGACGCUGAGGAGCGAAAGCGUGGGGAGCGAACAGG
Molecule: ribosomal RNA, 253 nt
Filed under: uncultured bacterium
Lineage: Bacteria
Description: partial 16S ribosomal RNA
Rfam family: Bacterial small subunit ribosomal RNA
Source: RNAcentral